UGCUGUUCUCGGGGAGCAGGAGGAAG
Molecule: non-coding RNA, 26 nt
Filed under: Cricetulus griseus (Chinese hamster)
Lineage: Eukaryota; Metazoa; Chordata; Mammalia; Rodentia; Cricetidae
Source: RNAcentral